AUUAAGCAUAUCAAUAAGCGGAGGAAAAGAAACCAACAGGGAUUGCCUUAGUAACGGCGAGUGAAGCGGCAAAAGCUCAAAUUUGAAAUCUGGCACCUUCGGUGUCCGAGUUGUAAUUUGAAGAAGGUAACUUUGGAGUCAGCUCUUGUCUAUGUUCCUUGGAACAGGACGUCACAGAGGGUGAGAAUCCCGUGCGAUGAGAUGUCUGAUUCUAUGUAAAGUGCUUUCGAAGAGUCGAGUUGUUUGGGAAUGCAGCUCUAAGUGGGUGGUAAAUUCCAUCUAAAGCUAAAUAUUGGCGAGAGACCGAUAGCGAACAAGUACAGUGAUGGAAAGAUGAAAAGAACUUUGAAAAGAGAGUGAAAAAGUACGUGAAAUUGUUGAAAGGGAAGGGUUUGAGAUCAGACUUGGUAUUUUGUAUGUCUUGCUUUCGGGUGGGGCCUCUACAGUUUACUGGGCCAGCAUCGGUUUGGAUGGUAGGAUAAUGACAUUGGAAUGUGGCACCACUUCGGUGGUGUGUUAUAGACUUUGUUGAUACUGCCUGUCUAGACCGAGGACUGCGUCUUUGACUAGGAUGCUGGCAUAAUGAUCCUAAACCGCCCGUCUUGAAAACACGG
This 614-nucleotide ribosomal RNA is filed under the name Scheffersomyces stipitis. RNAcentral's name for it is "LSU rRNA". It matches the Rfam family "Eukaryotic large subunit ribosomal RNA", at positions 33 to 664 of the family's 3401-position model. Lineage: Eukaryota; Fungi; Ascomycota; Pichiomycetes; Serinales; Debaryomycetaceae. The record is from RNAcentral.